Molecule: long non-coding RNA, 400 nt
Filed under: Apteryx owenii (little spotted kiwi)
Lineage: Eukaryota; Metazoa; Chordata; Aves; Apterygiformes; Apterygidae
Description: lncRNA (ENSAOWG00000006944.1)
Source: RNAcentral
CUGAAUAGAGCAAGAAAUUUAAAAACUUGAUAGCAAAGGCAGCAUAUUAACACUGCUGGGGAAAUAUAGCUUUUACCUCUUUCCCUUGUUAACAGUAUAAUCAGAUGUAUGGGCACUGUCUGUUUUCAUUUUCUGCUUUUUUAAUAUACUUUAGAAAUUAUCUUUUCUGAGGAGAUCACAGUAUUUUCAUUAGCAGAAAUGCAUUAAAGCAUUGGUUUCUAAUGUCCUUUUAUAUCUAGCCUUCUUAAAAUGCAGAUUUGUGUGACUGACACCUUGAAGACUAAUGUUGUCAGAUGAAAUGUACCCGGAGCAAUAUUUCAGCACAGCUCUAGCUGGAACCAUGUUCCUGGAAAAGAUCCAGGAAUGAUUUAUUGAAGGCCAUGGUGUGCACAGGUAAAUA